This 469-nucleotide ribosomal RNA is filed under the name uncultured bacterium. RNAcentral's name for it is "partial 16S ribosomal RNA". It matches the Rfam family "Bacterial small subunit ribosomal RNA", at positions 28 to 507 of the family's 1533-position model. The record is from RNAcentral.
GACGAACGCUGGCGGCGUGCUUAACACAUGCAAGUCGAACGGAAAGGCCCUGCUUUUGUGGGGUGCUCGAGUGGCGAACGGGUGAGUAACACGUGAGUAACCUGCCCUUGACUUUGGGAUAACUUCAGGAAACUGGGGCUAAUACCGGAUAGGAGCUCCUGCUGCAUGGUGGGGGUUGGAAAGUUUCGGCGGUUGGGGAUGGACUCGCGGCUUAUCAGCUUGUUGGUGGGGUAGUGGCUUACCAAGGCGGCGACGGGUAGCCGGCCUGAGAGGGUGACCGGCCACAUUGGGACUGAGAUACGGCCCAGACUCCUACGGGAGGCAGCAGUGGGGAAUAUUGCACAAUGGGCGCAAGCCUGAUGCAGCAACGCCGCGUGCGGGAUGACGGCCUUCGGGUUGUAAACCGCUUUCAGCAGGGACGAAGCUUUUUGUGACGGUACCUGCAGAAGAAGCACCGGCUAACUACGUG